RNAcentral lists this unclassified non-coding RNA (1029 nucleotides) under Zea mays. RNAcentral's name for it is "misc RNA Zm00001eb078020". Lineage: Eukaryota; Viridiplantae; Streptophyta; Magnoliopsida; Poales; Poaceae. The record is from RNAcentral.
GCCGGCCCACCUCUCGAUUCCGCUGUGCCUGUCACGCGGGCCCGCCCGGCCAGCCUCCCUGCUCGCGCGCUCCAACGCAGCGCGGUGUUCCCUUGUGGCUGCUGCGCUGGUCACAGACUUGUGGGGGCCGCACGCCAGGUAUCUCUUCUCCACUGAGAUCGGAACUACAUCCCUAGUUAUGCGCCGCCCUGCUCGCGAUCUCCUAGACGCGGACUCGCUGCCGCGGUCCUUGCCAUCCGGGUCGCCAGAACUUCCUUCUUGCGAUGACUGCGCGUAUCGGAUCAGAGUUUGUUGACGACCGUCCAUGAUCUUCGGCGCUGGCUAUGGUGGGGAUGCCAGGCUCGCCCCUAUAAAACUGAAGGCCGAUUUCCCCCAGCAACAUCUCCCAUGGCUGUGGGCGCUGUUCAUCCCACGACGGGAGGAUCCCUGCCAGGGCUGCACGGCCAGCUCUCCCUGUUCCCCAUGGCGAGCUCCCUCCAACAGCCAAGCUCCCCGUCGCGUCCCUGCUUCCGCCCUCUGCUCCAACGUGCCCAGACCUUUUUCCCAUCGGCACUCGGCGCCCAGUGCCCUUCAAGAUCGAGUUAUCCUCGGCUGUUGUUGGGGAACCAUGGCGCGCUCUUGGCUCUUGCUCGUCAAAAAAAAAUUGAAUCCCUGCGCCACGGAGUUCUUGAGAGCACGACCAACCAGAUUGCUGGAAAUCGCCGGCGAGCGUGGAUUUGAGAGAGAACAAGAAAUCGCCGUCGCGUCGCGUGCUGAGAAGAGCCGUGAACCACAACACCUGGGAUCCACUUGGCUCGGCACUGUAUCUUCAUCUUUGAUGCGCAAAUCCGCGGAGCGAUGCGCUCGCGGCCGCUCUCCCUGGGGGUCGCGCGGGGAGCCCGUGGAAGAUCUUGGGCAGCGCAAUCGCUCAAUCCGCGCAGUACUCCUCUCGCUUCAAGUUCGACAGGAUAUUCGGCGAGGAAGUGCCGCACCUCCGUCUGGUGUGCGGUGGUAUGGAGAAGAAGACAAGCCAUGGCUAUUAGUCUGGGC